CGCAGCCGCGGUAAUUCCAGCUCCAAUAGCGUAUAUUAAAGUUGUUGUGGUUAAAAAGCUCGUAGUAGAACCUUGGGCCUGGCUGGCCGGUCCGCCUCACCGCGUGCACUGGUCCGGCCGGGCCUUUCCCUCUGUGGAACCGCAUGCCCUUCACUGGGUGUGCCGGGGAAACAGGACUUUUACUUUGAAAAAAUUUAGAGUGCUCCAGGCAGGCCUAUGCUCGAAUACAUUAGCAUGGAAUAAUAGAAUAGGACGUGUGGUUCUAUUUUGUUGGUUUCUAGGACCGCCGUAAUGAUUAAUAGGGACAGUCGGGGGCAUCAGUAUUCAAUUGUCAGAGGUGAAAUUCUUGGAUUUAUUGAAGACUAACUACUGCGAAAGCAUUUUGCCAAGGAUGUUUUCAUUUAUCAGGAACGAAAGUUAGGGGAUCGAAGACGAUCAGAUACCGUCGUAGUCUUAACCAUAAACUAUGCCGACUAGGGAUCGGACGAUGUUAUUUUUUGACUCGUUCGGCACCUUACGG
Molecule: unclassified non-coding RNA, 520 nt
Filed under: uncultured Paraglomus
Lineage: Eukaryota; Fungi; Glomeromycota; Glomeromycetes; Paraglomerales; Paraglomeraceae
Description: SSU rRNA
Rfam family: Eukaryotic small subunit ribosomal RNA
Source: RNAcentral